Molecule: RNA transcript, 1889 nt
Organism: Synchiropus splendidus (mandarinfish)
Lineage: Eukaryota; Metazoa; Chordata; Actinopteri; Syngnathiformes; Callionymidae
Gene name: amine sulfotransferase-like
Exons: 5
Source: RefSeq, a predicted model, not a curated record
CAGGCGGGAGAUGAGGCUGUCAACGUUGAGCUCGCUUUCCGCCAUGUUUCAGUCACGGAGGAGGGAGGACGCGGGGCAGAGGUCCCUCAGCGUGGACUCGCAGGCUCGUUAAAGGGCCAGUCCUGCCGAACCUGGACGGUGCUACGAUGGCCGGGAUCACUAUUAGAACGGAUCAGUAGCGCAUCCUUGAAAGUAAACACACACCAAUAAUACCGUUAGUAACGUUAAACACUUCAUCCCACAGUCCCUUAACAUUCAAACCAAUGGGGUUGGAUGGUGGGGACACCCUGGAAAGGCUGCCAGUGCACUUCUGAACAGACACGCACACACACCUCGAGAAAAUCACGUCAUCAAUUCAAUGGUUUUUUGAUGUGUGAGAGGAAGCUGGUAUGUGGGUGCAGGUUAAUGCCAGCGACUCUUCCCUACUCUGGGUGAGGCACAUUACGCUGCAUGUGACACAAAACCACGGCCUUUCAGGUUCAACCCUUCCUCAGCUGUUGUUAACAAAGCCAACAGCUUUCUGCUCUCUGGUUACUCCUCCAUGCAAAUGCUCGUCCUUCCAUCCAGCCAAUGAGCCGGCGGGUGUCACGUGUACCAACAGCCCCUCGGAGGCGUGUGUCCCGUCACAAUGACAGCCUCUCCCACUUUGCUGUAGAAUUCCAAGCAUCCCAGAUGGACUCGCUGGACCUGGUCAGCCCCUAUCUGUUCCGGUACAAGGGGAAGAACUUUGUCGUGCAGGAGGGAAAGACGCCCCAAGAUCUGGACAAGCUGCGGCAUUUGGAGGUCCGACCCACUGACGUUUACAUCGUGGCUUUCCCCAAAUCAGGCACGUUAUGGAUGCAGCAGAUUCUAGUCCAGAUCAUGGACGAAGCUCACCCGGACCAAGCGGAGGACGACACAAACAGGAAUCGAGUCCCCUGGAUGGAGGGCGGAAUGGUAGACGACUGUCAACGAGAAAGGCCGGAUCCUCGCCUUAAUCGCACUCACCUUCCCCCCGACAUGCUGCCGCUGGGAGUGAAGGAAAAACAAGUGAAGACCAUCUAUUUGCUGAGGAACCCCAAAGAUGUCCUGGUGUCUCUGUACCACUUCUCCGGCAGCUGGGUGAUGCUGGAAACGCCCACCAGCUUCAACCAAUUCUUCGACGACUUCAUGGACGGCAAAACGUUUAUGGGUUCGUGGUUCGACCACGUCAGAGAAUACUACCGCGAGAAGGACAAGAUGAAUCUGCAUUACGUCAUGUUUGAGGACAUGCUGAAGGUUGGUGAUGUUUCCAGGAGACAGCUCUGGCCUCUUACGUCCGCGGCUGUUGCUGACAAACCAGUUCAGCAGCUCCGCUCCAGUUGUAAUUGCAUGAAACAUUAAGGUCCAUUGUUCUGAUCUGUAAUUCAGUUUUGAGUCAGCGAUGUACCAGGAAGAGCGAAGCAGCGGCCAAUUCACUUCACGACCACGUUUCUCCAUUUCCACCUGUGAAUAGUUGCAUUUCAGUCGCAGCUGGCAGUGACAGGAUGUCAGUGACACUGAAGCUCUGAGUCCUACGGAAGCACAAGGGUGACGUUUCCAACUGUGGUGAGAAAAUGGGACCAUGAAGGUUGACAGUGUGUGGAACAAUAAUAUUUGAGAUUCAUCACCACACAUGCCUGAAGAAACCUUCCCUGGAGGCAGGCAGGCAGAUCACCACAUGUCGAUGGGAGUCAAUAUUUAUCGAGAGUUUGGGUUUUACCUGAUCGUGUGCUAAUGUUAGCGUCAAUAUGUACCAUAUGUGUUGACUCUCAAACGUGAACGGUGACAGGACGCUAAAGGAGAGGUUGAGAAAAUAUGCAAGUUUCUGGAGAAGGAUCUGUCGGAUGAAGCCAUCCAUCGAGUGGUGGAGUCCUCCACCUUUGAUAACA